GGAGCCCAGCAGCUCAAUCUGUACUCAGAACCUUUAGAACCGUGUUCACGUUCUGUCUCCGUUCUGAACACUUACUUUGUGUUUUGGCGAACACCUGAAUCUCUUCCUUCAACUGAUCUUACUUUCCAUCCUUUUGUGCUUUUAUAUUUUCAUACAACACGGGACAGCACACCUUUCACCACAGAGAAGCUAAGAUCCUGCUGUACAAAUCAUAAAUAUAGGCCUUCCUUUGAAAGAGACCAAUGUGUUUGUCCUGUCUUUCAGGUCUCGAGUCUACUAUGGAUGAGGAGAGAGAGGAGGAGGGUCCUACCUCUAAGACCACUCUGUCUGGGGAACAUGGCCGCCGGAGCAAAGCUAAGAGGUAAGAAGAGGAUCUCUCUGUCUGUGACUGUUGUUCAUCUCAGAGCUCAGCAGUGA
Molecule: long non-coding RNA, 417 nt
Filed under: Gadus morhua (Atlantic cod)
Lineage: Eukaryota; Metazoa; Chordata; Actinopteri; Gadiformes; Gadidae
Description: lncRNA (ENSGMOG00000028195.1)
Source: RNAcentral